This 294-nucleotide unclassified non-coding RNA is filed under the name uncultured Conocybe. RNAcentral describes it as "sequence contains ITS2". The record is from RNAcentral. Lineage: Eukaryota; Fungi; Basidiomycota; Agaricomycetes; Agaricales; Bolbitiaceae.
AACGCACCUUGCGCUCCUUGGUAAUUCCGAGGAGCAUGCCUGUUUGAGUGUCAUUAAAUUCUCAAUCUUAACAACUUUGUGUUGUCUAGAUUGGAAGUGGGGGUCUUUUGUGUGGAAUCCAAUUCCUCACUCCCCUUAAAUGUAUUAGCUGGAAUGCCUCUGCAUAUCUGACUAUCAGUGUGAUAAUUAUCUAUGCUGUAGUUGUUGCAUGAGGGUAUCUGCUUCAUCAAUCGUCGCAAGACAACUAUUGACCAUCUUGACCUCAAAUCAGGUAGGACUACCCGCUGAACUUAA